AGUGAACGCUGGCGGUAGGCCUAACACAUGCAAGUCGAACGGCAGCACAGUAAGAGCUUGCUCUUACGGGUGGCGAGUGGCGGACGGGUGAGGAAUACAUCGGAAUCUACUUUUUCGUGGGGGAUAACGUAGGGAAACUUACGCUAAUACCGCAUACGACCUACGGGUGAAAGCAGGGGAUAUUCGGACCUUGCGCGAUAGAAUGAGCCGAUGCCGGAUUAGCUAGUUGGCGGGGUAAAGGCACACCAAGGCGACGAUCCGUAGCUGGUCUGAGAGGAUGAUCAGCCACACUGGAACUGAGACACGGUCCAGACUCCUACGGGAGGCAGCAGUGGGGAAUAUUGGACAAUGGGCGCAAGCCUGAUCCAGCCAUACCGCGUGGGUGAAGAAGGCCUUCGGGUUGUAAAGCCCUUUUGUUGGGAAAGAAAAGCAGCAGGUUAAUCCCCCGCUGUUCUGACGGUACCCAAAGAAUAAGCACCGGCUAACUUCGUG
Molecule: ribosomal RNA, 492 nt
Filed under: uncultured bacterium
Lineage: Bacteria
Description: partial 16S ribosomal RNA
Rfam family: Bacterial small subunit ribosomal RNA
Source: RNAcentral